This is a non-coding RNA of Schizosaccharomyces pombe (fission yeast), 298 nucleotides long. NCBI's taxonomy places the organism in Eukaryota, Fungi, Ascomycota, Schizosaccharomycetes, Schizosaccharomycetales, Schizosaccharomycetaceae. The record is from the annotation of a GenBank genome assembly.
AAUUGAACGAAAGGGUCCUGGUCCUCACUCAUCAAGGAGUUUAAAACAACAAAAACUUGAUAUUUUUCAUUCAUGGAUAAAUUUUCUAAGGAAAAUAAAUUAAGCAACAGCUUUGGAGCUCCAUUGCGAAUUGCAUAUUCUUUUCUGUCGGGUCUUCCAAUUACCCAAUUUUUGAAAGGAACGAUAUACCUCAACAACUCAUGCUCAUCCUUAAAUAUUUUAGGAUUUUCUUUAAAAAACGAAGAAUCCGUAGAGUCGUUAAUGGCGACCAUUCAUGAACAAAACUUGAAGAUAUUUG